AAUGAACGCUGGCGGCACGCCUAACACAUGCAAGUCGAACGAAGGCUUCGGCCUUAGUGGCGCACGGGUGCGUAACGCGUGGGAAUCUGCCCUUGGGUUCGGAAUAACAGUUAGAAAUGACUGCUAAUACCGGAUGAUGUCGUAAGACCAAAGAUUUAUCGCCCAAGGAUGAGCCCGCGUAGGAUUAGCUAGUUGGCGGGGUAGAGGCCCACCAAGGCGACGAUCCUUAGCUGGUCUGAGAGGAUGAUCAGCCACACUGGGACUGAGACACGGCCCAGACUCCUACGGGAGGCAGCAGUGGGGAAUAUUGGACAAUGGGCGAAAGCCUGAUCCAGCAAUGCCGCGUGAGUGAUGAAGGCCUUAGGGUUGUAAAGCUCUUUUACCCGGGAUGAUAAUGACAGUACCGGGAGAAUAAGCUCCGGCUAACUCCGUGCCAGCCGCCGCCGUAA
Molecule: ribosomal RNA, 449 nt
Filed under: uncultured bacterium
Lineage: Bacteria
Description: partial 16S ribosomal RNA
Rfam family: Bacterial small subunit ribosomal RNA
Source: RNAcentral